This 311-nucleotide long non-coding RNA is filed under the name Elaeis guineensis (African oil palm). RNAcentral's name for it is "long non-coding RNA (EGUI_LNC046831)". Lineage: Eukaryota; Viridiplantae; Streptophyta; Magnoliopsida; Arecales; Arecaceae. The record is from RNAcentral.
UGCCGUCGCUGCAAAUGAUGAAUCGGAGCGAUUGGUCAUAUUGGGUUAAUUGAAUGACACUAGAAGACAUAUACAUCAAAAUAUUGGGUAAACUGACUACAUCUCCAUUUAUCAUACUGGAUCAUCUAUAGCAUCACCAGAUGUUCUAAUGGCAUCACCAUAUUUUUCAGAGAUGCGGCAAUUGGGCUCUCUAUAUAUCUCUGAGGUGUAGCAUGAUUUGAGUAGUUGGGAUCGUUCAUCAUCAUCGAUGCCAUCUUUUACUGAGCAGAUGGACACUACUCUAUUAUCGAGCCUAUUUGAUUCAUCUUUGG